This 158-nucleotide small RNA is filed under the name Pseudolabrys sp. Root1462. Its description in RNAcentral is "caulobacter sRNA CC2171". It matches the Rfam family "caulobacter sRNA CC2171". The record is from Rfam by way of RNAcentral. Lineage: Bacteria; Pseudomonadati; Pseudomonadota; Alphaproteobacteria; Hyphomicrobiales; Xanthobacteraceae.
CAACAUCAGAAAGGAGGUGAUCCAGUGUCUCAUUGUCUAUCGCCGCAGACGUCGGCAUCCGCGACCUGGAAUCUCGCCUCGGUGGGGUUCCACGUCAGCUAGCGGUCCCGCGGAUUUGCGGUUCGGCAAUGGAAGGGCCGCCCCGUACGGGCGGCCCU